CUACUUUAUUGGUCAACCUAAUAGAGAAAGCCCGAACCUGGCGCCCGGAAGUGAUGUCAUCGGAACUGUGCAAGGUCCCGUCCAGAGCUGGCUGCUGUUCCGCUAGCGAGCGGCAUGCUUAGUGAAGAAAAGCUUAAAGGCCGUCUUUGCCCAAAACGCUCUCUGUGCGCACCUGCAUUUCCCCCAGAUUUGCAGGUGAUGAGAGUUCUGUAAAAUUACACAGCUAGUGACUGAUCCAGCGGAGGCCGAAUACAGAUGGAGUCUCACUCUGUUGCCAGGCUGGAGUGCAGUGGUGCCAUCUCAGCUCACUACAACCUCCACCUCCGGGGUUCAAGCGAUUCUCCUGCCUCAGCCUUCCGAGUAGCUGGGACUACAGGCUUGAAAUUGGUUUAUCAGGUCUGGAAGUGACUGGACUCUGGAGUACUGAGUUACCCACCACAAACUGCUAAUAAAAUGCUGUGUAAAAGCCAUUAAUACUAAUGUAUUAUUUAUGAGAAACACAAUUAUGGGGAAGCUAGGAUAGUUGAGUUUGCUGGUCAUUAUCUUCCUUGUAUUGACCAAAUUACAAUGAAGGCUAAAUCCAAAUUAUAAUCAGAAGAUUGCUUGGUAAAUACAGAACAGAAACAAUAGAAAUGUGUGUGGUGCUUUUAAUGGCUAGUAUUUCAAGCCUGAUGCAGCCCUUUCCACUUGAGUCACAUUGUCUUACAUUCUUUGACUUGGCUAGUGCUAAAAAUACAUUGCCAUUUUACUUUCUCCAUUUUUUUUUUUUUUUUUUUUUUGAGACGACGUCUGGAUUGCAAUUGGUGUGAGGUUGGCUCACUACAACCUCUGCCUCCCGGGUUCAAGCGAUUCUCCUGCCCCAGCCUCCUGAGUAGCUGGGACUACAGGUGCACGCCACCACGCCCAGCUA
This 910-nucleotide long non-coding RNA is filed under the name Homo sapiens (human). RNAcentral's name for it is "HSALNT0044846". The record is from RNAcentral. Lineage: Eukaryota; Metazoa; Chordata; Mammalia; Primates; Hominidae.